UACGUAGGGGGCUAGCGUUGUCCGGAAUCAUUGGGCGUAAAGCGCGUGUAGGCGGCCCGGUAAGUCCGCUGUGAAAGUCGGGGGCUCAACCCUCGGAUGCCGGUGGAUACUGUCGGGCUCGAGUACGGAAGAGGCGAGUGGAAUUCCUGGUGUAGCGGUGAAAUGCGCAGAUAUCGGGAGGAACACCAGUGGCGAAGGCGACUUCCUGGCCUGUUCUUGACGCUGAGGCGCGAAAGCUAGGGGAGCAAACGGG
RNAcentral lists this ribosomal RNA (253 nucleotides) under uncultured bacterium. Its description in RNAcentral is "partial 16S ribosomal RNA". It matches the Rfam family "Bacterial small subunit ribosomal RNA", at positions 524 to 776 of the family's 1533-position model. The record is from RNAcentral.